RNAcentral lists this non-coding RNA (21 nucleotides) under Caenorhabditis elegans. The record is from RNAcentral. Lineage: Eukaryota; Metazoa; Nematoda; Chromadorea; Rhabditida; Rhabditidae.
UUAUAAUCCAGCACAUGUUAU